GGCAGCUGACGAGUCCUUAACUGACGCUAAAGCUCGAAAGUGCGGGUAUCGAAACAGGAUUAGAUACCCUGGUAGUCCGCACGGUAAACGAUGGAUGCCCCGCUGUUUGCGAUAUAUUGUAAGCGGCCAAGAGAAAUCGUUAAGCAUCCCACCUGGGGAGUACGCCGGCAACGGUGAAACUCAAAGGAAUUGACGGGGGCCCGCACAAGCGGAGGAACAUGUGGUUUAAUUCGAUGAUACGCGAGGAACCUUACCCGGGCUUGAACUGCCAGCGAACGAUACAGAGAUGUUGAGGCCCUUCGGGGCGCUGGUGGAGGUGCUGCAUGGUUGUCGUCAGCUCGUGCCGUGAGGUGUCGGCUUAAGUGCCAUAACGAGCGCAACCCCUCUCGCCAGUUUCCAUCAGGUGAUGCUGGGCACUCUGGCGACACUGCCACCGUAAGGUGUGAGGAAGGUGGGGAUGACGUCAAAUCAGCACGGCCUGACGUGCGGUGUGUACAAACCCUGACAAUGGUGGUACAGAGAGUCAAUCCCCAGCAAUGUGGAUUCAAUCCUGAAAGCCAUCGUCAGUUCGGAGAGGGCUAUGCAACCCGACGCCAUGAA
RNAcentral lists this ribosomal RNA (600 nucleotides) under uncultured bacterium. RNAcentral describes it as "bacterial SSU rRNA". It matches the Rfam family "Bacterial small subunit ribosomal RNA", at positions 720 to 1324 of the family's 1533-position model. The record is from RNAcentral.